GACGAACGCUGGCGGCGUGCUUAACACAUGCAAGUCGAACGGAAAGGCCCUUCGGGGUACUCGAGUGGCGAACGGGUGAGUAACACGUGGGUGAUCUGCCCUGCACUUUGGGAUAAGCCUGGGAAACUGGGUCUAAUACCGAAUAUGAUCAUGGCCUUCAUGGGUUGUGGUGGAAAGCUUUUGCGGUGUGGGAUGGGCCCGCGGCCUAUCAGCUUGUUGGUGGGGUAAUGGCCUACCAAGGCGACGACGGGUAGCCGGCCUGAGAGGGUGUCCGGCCACACUGGGACUGAGAUACGGCCCAGACUCCUACGGGAGGCAGCAGUGGGGAAUAUUGCACAAUGGGCGCAAGCCUGAUGCAGCGACGCCGCGUGAGGGAUGACGGCCUUCGGGUUGUAAACCUCUUUCAGCAGGGACGAAGCGCAAGUGACGGUACCUGUAGAAGAAGGACCGGCCAACUACGUGCCAGCAGCCGCGGUAAUACGUAGGGUCCGAGCGUUGUCCGGAAUUACUGGGCGUAAAGAGCUCGUAGGUGGUUUGUCGCGUUGUUCGUGAAAACUCACAGCUUAACUGUGGGCGUGCGGGCGAUACGGGCAGACUUGAGUACUGCAGGGGAGACUGGAAUUCCUGGUGUAGCGGUGGAAUGCGCAGAUAUCAGGAGGAACACCGGUGGCGAAGGCGGGUCUCUGGGCAGUAACUGACGCUGAGGAGCGAAAGCGUGGGGAGCGAACAGGAUUAGAUACCCUGGUAGUCCACGCCGUAAACGGUGGGUACUAGGUGUGGGUUUCCUUCCUUGGGAUCCGUGCCGUAGCUAACGCAUUAAGUACCCCGCCUGGGGAGUACGGCCGCAAGGCUAAAACUCAAAGAAAUUGACGGGGGCCCGCACAAGCGGCGGAGCAUGUGGAUUAAUUCGAUGCAACGCGAAGAACCUUACCUGGGUUUGACAUGCACAGGACGUGCCUAGAGAUAGGUAUUCCCUUGUGGCCUGUGUGCAGGUGGUGCAUGGCUGUCGUCAGCUCGUGUCGUGAGAUGUUGGGUUAAGUCCCGCAACGAGCGCAACCCUUAUCUUAUGUUGCCAGCGCGUAAUGGCGGGGACUCGUGAGAGACUGCCGGGGUCAACUCGGAGGAAGGUGGGGAUGACGUCAAGUCAUCAUGCCCCUUAUGUCCAGGGCUUCACACAUGCUACAAUGGCCGGUACAAAGGGCUGCGAUGCCGUGAGGUGGAGCGAAUCCUUUCAAAGCCGGUCUCAGUUCGGAUCGGGGUCUGCAACUCGACCCCGUGAAGUCGGAGUCGCUAGUAAUCGCAGAUCAGCAACGCUGCGGUGAAUACGUUCCCGGGCCU
This 1338-nucleotide ribosomal RNA is filed under the name uncultured bacterium. RNAcentral's name for it is "bacterial SSU rRNA". It matches the Rfam family "Bacterial small subunit ribosomal RNA", at positions 28 to 1381 of the family's 1533-position model. The record is from RNAcentral.